This 410-nucleotide unclassified non-coding RNA is filed under the name Hevea brasiliensis (rubber tree). The record is from RNAcentral. Lineage: Eukaryota; Viridiplantae; Streptophyta; Magnoliopsida; Malpighiales; Euphorbiaceae.
GAAGGUCCAAAUAGAUUCCAAAUUUCCCAAGAGUGUUUAGCAAUGAUUUAUUCAAAGAUGAAGGAUGAAAUGCAUGUACACGAGUCGACACAUAGCAGAGAUAAUAGCAUCAGGAAAAGGAAGAGAGGAUAUGGCAUGCUUUCAUACACAGAUUGGUGGAAGGGCGAAUCAGAAAUGAGCAAAAAGCUUUUAGUGAAGCAAAUAGUGGAGAAAGAUGUGGGCUUAAGUGUUAUGCCUCCUUCUUUUGAUAGUGGUUGCUUGUCAUAUGAAAGGAGAAAAGAGAAGAUAAAAGCUGCAAAGUAUCGAAUCCAUAAGACAAUGUAUCCUUCGGAUGCUAGUUCAAUUGAUACGAUUGAUGUAGGCUCCCUCGAACACGUAAAUGCUGGAAAGAGAAGGAAAAGGAAAAUGAA